AUUGAACGCUGGCGGAAUGCUUUACACAUGCAAGUCGAGCGGCAGCGCGGGGGCAACCCUGGCGGCGAGCGGCGAACGGGUGAGUAAUACAUCGGAACGUGUCCUUAAGUGGGGGAUAGCUCGGCGAAAGCCGGAUUAAUACCGCAUAAGCUCUGAGGAGGAAAGCGGGGGCUCCGUAAGGACCUCGCGCUGUUGGAGCGGCCGAUGUCGGAUUAGCUAGUUGGUGGGGUAAAGGCCCACCAAGGCGACGAUCCGUAGCUGGUCUGAGAGGACGAUCAGCCACACUGGCACUGCGACACGGGCCAGACUCCUACGGGAGGCAGCAGUAAGGAAUAUUGCGCAAUGGGCGAAAGCCUGACGCAGCGACGCCGCGUGGGGGAUGAAGGUCUUCGGAUUGUAAACCCCGUUUCGGGAGGGAAGAUGGAAUGGGGUAACCCAUUCGGACGGUACCUCCAGAAGCAGCCACGGCCAACUUCGUGCCAGCAGCCGCGGUAAC
RNAcentral lists this ribosomal RNA (496 nucleotides) under uncultured bacterium. Its description in RNAcentral is "bacterial SSU rRNA". It matches the Rfam family "Bacterial small subunit ribosomal RNA", at positions 29 to 524 of the family's 1533-position model. The record is from RNAcentral.